RNAcentral lists this ribosomal RNA (445 nucleotides) under uncultured bacterium. RNAcentral describes it as "partial 16S ribosomal RNA". It matches the Rfam family "Bacterial small subunit ribosomal RNA", at positions 354 to 796 of the family's 1533-position model. The record is from RNAcentral.
GUGAGGAAUAUUGCGCAAUGGAGGCAACUCUGACGCAGCCAUGCCGCGUGCAGGAAGAAGGCGCUACGCGUUGUAAACUGCUUUUAACCGGGAAGAAACCCCAGGACGUGUCCUGGGUUGACGGUACCGGAGGAAUAAGCACCGGCUAACUUCGUGCCAGCAGCCGCGGUAAUACGAAGGGUGCAAGCGUUAUCCGGAUUCAUUGGGUUUAAAGGGUGCGUAGGCGGAGCGUUAAGUCAGUGGUGACAUCCUGCAGAUUAACUGUAGACUUGCCAUUGAUGCUGGCGCUCUUGAGUGCGCUUGAAGUGGGCGGAAUGUGCCGUGUAGCGGUGAAAUGCUUAGAUAUGGCACAGAACACCAAUUGCGAAGGCAGCUCACUAAGGCGAUACUGACGCUGAGGCACGAAAGCGUGGGGAUCGAACAGGAUUAGAUACCCUAGUAGUCC